RNAcentral lists this ribosomal RNA (385 nucleotides) under uncultured bacterium. RNAcentral describes it as "bacterial SSU rRNA". It matches the Rfam family "Bacterial small subunit ribosomal RNA", at positions 30 to 416 of the family's 1533-position model. The record is from RNAcentral.
AUUGAACGCUGGCGGCAUGCCUUACACAUGCAAGUCUAACGGCAGCGGGCCUUCGGGUGCCGGCGAGUGGCGAACGGGUGAGUAAUGCAUCGGAACGUGCCAUUGAGUGGGGGGAUAACGUAGCGAAAGUUGCGCUAAUACCGCAUAUUCUGUGAGCAGGAAAGCAGGGGACCGCAAGGCCUUGCGCUCUUUGAGCGGCCGAUGUCAGAUUAGCUAGUUGGUGAGGUAAAGGCUUACCAAGGCGACGAUCUGUAGCGGGUCUGAGAGGAUGAUCCGCCACACUGGAACUGAGACACGGUCCAGACUCCUACGGGAGGCAGCAGUGGGGAAUUUUGGACAAUGGGGGCAACCCUGAUCCAGCCAUGCCGCGUGAGUGAAGAAGGCC